ACAAAUCGUCUUAUAUUUUCUCAUCCUUAUCUUUUGUUCCUCAAACCCGGUUGCCGCCCUUCUCCUCCAAUACUGUUCAUUUGCGUUCUUAUUAAUUUUUUUUUCCGUUCUUCUAACCCUAGAACCAACCAGCGGAGGUACCUUGUCUUCUUUUCAUCCGGUAGACCGUUGGGACAGAAGGUAGUCACGAGCAGCAACAACAGCAGGCAAAUGGCGGCAAUAAGUGGCGUUGAGUGGAAGUGGGUGGCUCCGCUGCUCCCUUCCUUGCAUCCGUCUGUCAAGAAUGGUAAAUCCAGAUGAGGUUGAAAUUUCACGUGGUGGAAUUUUGGAAGUCAUCACCACUCUAUAUGCUAAAAUUUCACCGUUCUUUGAAAAAGAAACCCCUGAAGCGUCCGCGAAUAACCAUGAAGACCAACAAGUCGUCGGUUUCUUCCAAUUUUGUUGUCUUUGGAGUUUAGUUAUUUGCUUUGAAAUUGGUUUAACAAAUUUGAAGAAAUUUGUUUUGGGUUAUCUUUAAUUAACUCUAUCUAUUGGAUUUCCAUCUGAAAUUGGUACUAAGAUUAAAUUGUUUGUUUGUAUUGAUUCUCAUGAUUUCAAUUUUUUUUUGGUUCUUCAAUGAUACAGAGGUUAGCUGAUAUGAAAAUGUUAGCAUAUAUUUUUUUUGGGUUAUCUUUAAUUAGGUGUGUCAAUUGGAUUUCCAUAUGAAAUUGGUACUAAGAUUAAAUUGUUUAUUUGUAUUGAUUCUCAUGAUUUCAAUUUUUUUUUUUGUUCUUCAAGGAUACAGGAUACAGAGGUUAGCUGAUAUGAAAAGGUUAGCAUAUAUGAAUCAAACGGUAAAACUUGCAAAAAUUGGAUUGUUUAUUUCUCUUUUAAAUAAUUUGCAAAAAUAGCUCAUUGUUAUACUGUGGAGUCCAUUCAGAUCAUUGUCUGUUGAAUUGGAGGCUUUUAUACUUAUAAAGCUUUUCGUCUCAAAUAGAAUUCGCUAUUUAGAAAAUGUAGCAGCAAAACAGCUCCAGUGAGAUUUUUUUUUUAGUUUUUUCGGAUAAGAAAGUAAAAAUAAAAUUCCAUUGUAUCAUUUCAUCAAACACUUGGCUUUUAAUUUUUUUUAUAGCAGCCUAACAAUGGGAAGAAAGAUUACAAGUUUGGGUUUAGGUUCAUUGUACAUUCUUAUAAUUAUAUAUUAAAAAUGAUUUUUAAUUUUUUUUAUUGAUUUAUUUAUGUAUUUUAGAUGCUUAAUUAUUUGUCGAUUUCUAUGGAUGAUGAUACUUCGUAGGCUUUAAUACUGGCUGCACUCUCUGAUUCG
RNAcentral lists this long non-coding RNA (1303 nucleotides) under Lactuca sativa (garden lettuce). RNAcentral's name for it is "long non-coding RNA (LSAT_LNC005833)". The record is from RNAcentral. Lineage: Eukaryota; Viridiplantae; Streptophyta; Magnoliopsida; Asterales; Asteraceae.